UGCAGUCGAACGGUAACAGGCCGCAAGGUGCUGACGAGUGGCGAACGGGUGAGUUAUGUAUCGGAACGUGCCCAGUCGUGGGGGAUAACGCAGCGAAAGCUGCGCUAAUACCGCAUACGAUCUAUGGAUGAAAGCGGGGGACCGUAAGGCCUCGCGCGAUUGGAGCGGCCGAUAUCAGAUUAGGUAGUUGGUGGGGUAAAGGCUCACCAAGCCAACGAUCUGUAGCUGGUCUGAGAGGACGACCAGCCACACUGGGACUGAGACACGGCCCAGACUCCUACGGGAGGCAGCAGUGGGGAAUUUUGGACGAUGGGCGCAAGCCUGAUCCUGCAAUGCCGCGUGCAGGAAGAAGGCCUUCGGGUUGUAAGCUGCUUUUGUACGGAACGAAACGGUCCUGGUUAAUACCUGGGGCUAAUGACGGUACCGUAAGAAUAAGCACCGGCUAACUACGUGCCAGCAGCCGCGGUAAUACGUAGGGUGCAAGCGUUAAUCGGAAUUACUGGGCGUAAAGCGUGCGCAGGCGGUUUUGUAAGACAGGCGUGAAAUCCCCGGGCUUAACCUGGGAAUGGCGCUUGUGACUGCAAAGCUGGAGUGCGGCAGAGGGGGAUGGAAUUCCGC
Molecule: ribosomal RNA, 618 nt
Filed under: uncultured bacterium
Lineage: Bacteria
Description: bacterial SSU rRNA
Rfam family: Bacterial small subunit ribosomal RNA
Source: RNAcentral